GGGGCAGUAGCUCAGUGGUAGAGCUCCAGGUUGUGGCUCUGGCGAUGCUGGUUCGAUUCCAGCCUGUCCCU
This 71-nucleotide transfer RNA is filed under the name Ktedonobacteraceae bacterium. RNAcentral describes it as "tRNA-His". It matches the Rfam family "tRNA". From Rfam's summary of the family: Transfer RNA (tRNA) molecules are approximately 80 nucleotides in length. Lineage: Bacteria; Bacillati; Chloroflexota; Ktedonobacteria; Ktedonobacterales; Ktedonobacteraceae. The record is from RNAcentral.